GACGAACGCUGGCGGCGUGCUUAACACAUGCAAGUCGAGCGGAAAGGCCCUUCGGGGUACUCGAGCGGCGAACGGGUGAGUAACACGUGAGUAACCUGCCCCAGACUUUGGGAUAACCCUCGGAAACGGGGGCUAAUACCGGAUACGACACAGCUUCGCAUGGGGUCUGUGUGGAAAGUUUUUCGGUUUGGGAUGGGCUCGCGGCCUAUCAGCUUGUUGGUGGGGUGAUGGCCCACCAAGGCGACGACGGGUAGCCGGCCUGAGAGGGCGACCGGCCACACUGGGACUGAGACACGGCCCAGACUCCUACGGGAGGCAGCAGUGGGGAAUAUUGCACAAUGGGCGGAAGCCUGAUGCAGCGACGCCGCGUGAGGGAUGACGGCCUUCGGGUUGUAAACCUCUUUCAGCAGGGACGAAGCGUAAGUGACGGUACCUGCAGAAGAAGCGCCGGCCAACUACGUG
RNAcentral lists this ribosomal RNA (462 nucleotides) under uncultured bacterium. RNAcentral describes it as "partial 16S ribosomal RNA". It matches the Rfam family "Bacterial small subunit ribosomal RNA", at positions 28 to 507 of the family's 1533-position model. The record is from RNAcentral.